GGGAUGGCAAAGGAAUUCCAGAGGUGAUUGCUAAUUUUAGACCCAUUGUGGAACAUGGGGAAGCUGAUUAUCCAUUUGGCUUAUGGAGUAAAAGGCAGCUUGAUUAUACAAAAGCCGGGAUGUCAUUAGCCGAACUAGUAAGCACUGGCAGUGGCACAACAAUAUGGCCAUAUGUCAUAACACAGAGAUGCAAAGGAAAAAUAUAUGCUCAAAUAAGAGAUACCAUCUCAUGGGAAGACACUCUAAAUUUGGCCUCGUUCCUGGGAGAACAAAUGCGCAACCUUCAUCUUGUGCCGUGCCCAGCUUUGAAUGAUUUAACGUUAUUGGAAACCCAGCAGAAAGUAGUACCCACUGCUAAUGGGAAUCUCGAGGAUCACGAGGACAAGAUUUGUGUCCCUGCAGAGUGGAAUUUAUUCCUGAAAACUCUGAACAGAAAAAAGAAGGAUGUUUGUGACCGCUUGACCAAAUGGGGCGAUCCAAUUCCUAGAGAGCUGAUUGAGAAAGUCGAGGAAUACAUCCCCGAUGACCUCCAAAAGGUUGACAUGGGAGUCAGAUCUUGUACCUGGAUACACUCCGAUGUGAUGGAUGACAAUAUCCACAUGGAACCGUGUUCCCUCCCUUCUCGCUCUGGAGGGACUACUGAUGAUCCCGAGUCAAUUGACAAUGUUUCUGCAAAUGGAUCUAAUUUGAGUGAGCCUAUACGUGCAUGGAGACCUACUCAUAUACUCGAUUUCAGUGGUCUAUCUGUUGGGGACCCGAUUGUUGACUUAAUCCCAAUACACCUGGAUAUCUUUAGAGGAGAUCCGCAUUUACUGAAGCAAUUUCUGGAUAGCUAUCAACUUCCAUUUAUUAAAACAGGGGUGAAUGCAUCAGCUAAAAGCAAUGGAUUUCAGAGACUUUCUUACCGAGCCAUGUGCUACUGUAUUUUGCAUGACGAAAACGUUCUGGGAGCUAUUUUCAGUACUUGGAAGAAACUAAAGAUGGCUAAAUCAUGGGAAGAAGUCGAGGAAGCUGUAUGGGGAGAUCUUAAUAGUUACACAGGCUCCUGUUGAACUUUUAUAAUUUUUGUCUCUCAGUUUUAUUGAUGAAUAUUGAAUAAGUCCAAUCGCGUGUACAAUAACAUUUGUUUGAUGUAAUUUAUUGAUCUUUU
RNAcentral lists this unclassified non-coding RNA (1150 nucleotides) under Hevea brasiliensis (rubber tree). Lineage: Eukaryota; Viridiplantae; Streptophyta; Magnoliopsida; Malpighiales; Euphorbiaceae. The record is from RNAcentral.